UUUCUUUCUUCAAAUAUAUAUAUGUGGAAUCCUCAAUUAGCACUACUCCUUUACGGAGUAUUUAAGAAUUAAUAUAUUUUUGA
This 83-nucleotide microRNA precursor is filed under the name Oryza sativa Indica Group (long-grained rice). RNAcentral describes it as "mir-172 microRNA precursor". The record is from RNAcentral. Lineage: Eukaryota; Viridiplantae; Streptophyta; Magnoliopsida; Poales; Poaceae.